GAUGAACGCUAGCUACAGGCUUAACACAUGCAAGUCGAGGGGCAUCAGGAAGAAAGCUUGCUUUCUUUGCUGGCGACCGGCGCACGGGUGAGUAACACGUAUCCAACCUGCCCUGUACAUAUGGAUAACAUGCUGAAAAGCAUACUAAUACAUAAUAACGUACAUUGAAGGCAUCUUCGAUGUAUCAAAGCGUUAGCGGUACAGGAUGGACCCGCGUCUGAUUAGCUAGUUGGUGGGGUAAAAGCCUACCAAGGCGGCGAUCAGUAGCCGACCUGAGAGGGUGAUCGGCCACAUUGGAACUGAGACACGGUCCAA
This 315-nucleotide ribosomal RNA is filed under the name uncultured bacterium. Its description in RNAcentral is "bacterial SSU rRNA". It matches the Rfam family "Bacterial small subunit ribosomal RNA", at positions 28 to 334 of the family's 1533-position model. The record is from RNAcentral.